AGUCAAGCCUCAGUUUCCCUCAUCUGUAAAAUGAAAGGGUUAGACCAGAUGACUUCUAAGGUGCUUCCAGGUCUGCAUCCAUGAUCCCAUGAACUUUCAAUGUGGGUAACUCCCUGUAAGGAACUUUCUUAUAGGGUUCAUUGCUGAUCCAAUGAAGAUUGACAACUGGUCUGAGAAAAUUGCUUGGGAAAUUGAGAGGUUGACUUGCCCAAGGUCAUACAGCCUGUAUGUGUUAUAAGUGGGACCCAAACCCAAGUCUUCUUGAGUUGAAGGUUGGUGCUCUAUAUACUAGCCCAGGUUGCCUCCCAAAGCACUUUAUAAACCUUAAAUAAAGGACUUAAAAAAUCCCAGCUUUUACCACUCCUGUUUCUAUCACUCUGUACCCAGAGCUUCAGGGUAUCUUGUCCGUGGGUCAGGGUACAAGACUUGAGUCAGGGUCAACAUUUCUUUUGUGUUUUGGGCAGGCUUCCUGUUCUCUUUGGGGCCAAGAGAGAUGCAAGAAAAUCCCACUUCCACAAGUCAGCCCAUUUGCCUGGCUCCUUUGCCUCGUAAUGGAAUUAACUUCUUGAAAGAUCAAUGCCCAUCAAUUCUACAAUAAAUAUUAAAUUGUUUUGCAGGGCUGGAGGUGGCAGGCUGUUAGCCCAUAAUAUUGGUCCAGUAACACACUGUAAUUCCAGGCACUCUGGGAAGGCACCAGUGAAAUCUCAUCAUCAAAAAAACAUUUUGUUCUUCCUGGCCAGAUCAGGCCUCGGGGAGGAGUCAAGGUUUCUGAGCUGGUGUCCGACCGACUGAGCUCAGGAGCUGGAGAGGAAUUGAGCUCCCACUGAGCCCAUCCCAGACAUCCUGUUCAUUUUCCUCUAGUCCAGAUGGACACAUUGGAUAGGGGCUGGGGGGUGUGGACAGGGAGGAGAGAGAGGGAGGGAGACUGGAAGGACAGGGAGCUUUAGGACCUUACUCUUUCGAAGACAUCAGUGUGUUGCAAGAGUGUUGUUUGUAAGAAUGCCCAGCCCCUAAGCUGGAUUCCUGCAGGAGUGGGGAGGAGGCAGCAUUGGCGUGAGUCCCAGGAAACUUUGCUUGGUGGACUGACAUUCAGAUCAAUUCAAUGGGCAUUUAUUAAAGGUUAUUCUGAGGAUCAAAU
This 1138-nucleotide long non-coding RNA is filed under the name Phascolarctos cinereus (koala). RNAcentral describes it as "lncRNA (ENSPCIG00000032198.1)". Lineage: Eukaryota; Metazoa; Chordata; Mammalia; Diprotodontia; Phascolarctidae. The record is from RNAcentral.